RNAcentral lists this ribosomal RNA (208 nucleotides) under uncultured bacterium. RNAcentral describes it as "partial 16S ribosomal RNA". It matches the Rfam family "Bacterial small subunit ribosomal RNA", at positions 568 to 774 of the family's 1533-position model. The record is from RNAcentral.
CGCGUAGGCGGGCCGAUAAGUCAGAUGUGAAAUCCACCGGCUUAACCGGUUGAACUGCAUUUGAAACUGCCGGCCUUGAGAACAGGAGAGGGGAGUGGAAUUCCAGGUGUAGCGGUGGAAUGUGUAGAUAUCUGGAAGAACACCAGUGGCGAAAGCGGCUCCCUGGCCUGAUUCUGACGCUAAGGCGCGAAAGCUAGGGGAGCGAACA